RNAcentral lists this ribosomal RNA (276 nucleotides) under uncultured bacterium. RNAcentral's name for it is "partial 16S ribosomal RNA". It matches the Rfam family "Bacterial small subunit ribosomal RNA", at positions 44 to 334 of the family's 1533-position model. The record is from RNAcentral.
GCGCUUAACACAUGCAAGUCGCACGAGAAAGUGGAGCAAUCCAUGAGUACAGUGGCGUACGGGUGAGUAACACGUGGAUCAUCUACCCUUUAGUGGGGAAUAACCCUGGGAAACCGGGGCUAAUACCGCAUAAGCCUGGAAAGGGAAAGCAGCAAUGCGCUGAAGGAGGAGUCCGCGGCCGAUUAGCUUGUUGGUAGGGUAAUGGCCUACCAAGGCAAUGAUCGGUAGCCGGCCUGAGAGGGCACACGGCCACACUGGCACUGAAACACGGGCCAG